UCCGGCGUCGCCCAACCGGUAGGGCAGCGGAUUGUUAAUCCGUUCGGGUGCAGGUUCGAAUCCUGCCGUCGGAGC
RNAcentral lists this transfer RNA (75 nucleotides) under Paraplanobispora siamensis. RNAcentral's name for it is "Planobispora siamensis tRNA-Asn". It matches the Rfam family "tRNA". Rfam says of the family: Transfer RNA (tRNA) molecules are approximately 80 nucleotides in length. Their secondary structure includes four short double-helical elements and three loops (D, anti-codon, and T loops). Lineage: Bacteria; Bacillati; Actinomycetota; Actinomycetes; Streptosporangiales; Streptosporangiaceae. The record is from RNAcentral.